UCACGUGCUACAAUGGCAUAUGCAAUGAGACGCAAUACCGCGAGGUGGAGCAAAUCUAUAAAAUAUGUCCCAGUUCGGAUUGUUCUCUGCAACUCGAGAGCAUGAAGCC
RNAcentral lists this ribosomal RNA (109 nucleotides) under uncultured Campylobacter sp. Its description in RNAcentral is "partial 16S ribosomal RNA". It matches the Rfam family "Bacterial small subunit ribosomal RNA", at positions 1218 to 1327 of the family's 1533-position model. The record is from RNAcentral. Lineage: Bacteria; Pseudomonadati; Campylobacterota; Epsilonproteobacteria; Campylobacterales; Campylobacteraceae.